CCACCACCAAAGCAUUUGCUGUACCGCGUUGACGGAGCGAAGCGACGUCAAACCGAUAAAACAGCAGUGUAAAGUGAGCCGCAGGGCGCUUUGCGCGACAGCGCAAAGGCAGGCGGUUUCGCGUAGCGAAAGCGAAUGCUUUGGGGUGGGGUGACUGCGUACCUUUUGUAUAAUGGGUCAGCGACUUAUAUUCUGUAGCAAGGUUAACCGAAUAGGGGAGCCGGAGGGAAACCGAGUCUUAAUUGGGCGUUAAGUUGCAGGGUAUAGACCCGAAACCCGGUGAUCUAGCCAUGGGCAGGUUGAAGGUUGGGUAACACUAACUGGAGGACCGAACCGACUAAUGUUGAAAAAUUAGCGGAUGACCUGUGGCUGGGGGUGAAAGGCCAAUCAAACCGGGAGAUAGCUGGUUCUCCCCGAAAGCUAUUUAGGUAGCGCCUCGUGAAUUCAUCUCCGGGGGUAGAGCACUGUUUCGGCUAGGGGGCCAUCCCGGCUUACCAACCCGAUGCAAACUGCGAAUACCGGAGAAUGUUAUCACGGGAGACACACGGCGGGUGCUAACGUCCGUCGUGAAGAGGGAAACAACCCAGACCGCCAGCUAAGGUCCCAAAGUCAUGGUUAAGUGGGAAACGAUGUGGGAAGGCCCAGACAGCCAGGAUGUUGGCUUAGAAGCAGCCAUCAUUUAAAGAAAGCGUAAUAGCUCACUGGUCGAGUCGGCCUGCGCGGAAGAUGUAACGGGGCUAAACCAUGCACCGAAGCUGCGGCAGCGACACUGUGUGUUGUUGGGUAGGGGAGCGUUCUGUAAGCCUGUGAAGGUGUGUCGUGAGGCAUGCUGGAGGUAUCAGAAGUGCGAAUGCUGACAUAAGUAACGAUAAAGCGGGUGAAAAGCCCGCUCGCCGGAAGACCAAGGGUUCCUGUCCAACGUUAAUCGGGGCAGGGUGAGUCGACCCCUAAGGCGAGGCCGAAAGGCGUAGUCGAUGGGAAACGGGUUAAUAUUCCCGUACUUGGUGUUACUGCGAAGGGGGGACGGAGAAGGCUAUGUUGGCCGGGCGACGGUUGUCCCGGUUUAAGCGUGUAGGUGUGUGUUCUAGGUAAAUCCGGUUCACUUUAACACUGAGGCGUGACGACGAGGCACUACGGUGCUGAAGCAACAAAUGCCCUGCUUCCAGGAAAAGCCUCUAAGCAUCAGGUAACAUCAAAUCGUACCCCAAACCGACACAGGUGGUCAGGUAGAGAAUACCAAGGCGCUUGAGAGAACUCGGGUGAAGGAACUAGGCAAAAUGGUGCCGUAACUUCGGGAGAAGGCACGCUGACACGUAGGUGAAGUGAUUUACUCAUGGAGCUGAAGUCAGUCGAAGAUACCAGCUGGCUGCAACUGUUUAUUAAAAACACAGCACUGUGCAAACACGAAAGUGGACGUAUACGGUGUGACGCCUGCCCGGUGCCGGAAGGUUAAUUGAUGGGGUCAGCGCAAGCGAAGCUCCUGAUCGAAGCCCCGGUAAACGGCGGCCGUAACUAUAACGGUCCUAAGGUAGCGAAAUUCCUUGUCGGGUAAGUUCCGACCUGCACGAAUGGCGUAAUGAUGGCCAGGCUGUCUCCACCCGAGACUCAGUGAAAUUGAACUCGCUGUGAAGAUGCAGUGUACCCGCGGCAAGACGGAAAGACCCCGUGAACCUUUACUAUAGCUUGACACUGAACAUUGAGCCUUGAUGUGUAGGAUAGGUGGGAGGCUUUGAAGUGUGGACGCCAGUCUGCAUGGAGCCGACCUUGAAAUACCACCCUUUAAUGUUUGAUGUUCUAACGUGGACCCGUUACCCGGGUUGCGGACAGUGUCUGGUGGGUAGUUUGACUGGGGCGGUCUCCUCC
RNAcentral lists this ribosomal RNA (1863 nucleotides) under Salmonella enterica subsp. enterica serovar Enteritidis. Its description in RNAcentral is "partial 23S ribosomal RNA". It matches the Rfam family "Bacterial large subunit ribosomal RNA", at positions 1 to 2290 of the family's 2925-position model. The record is from RNAcentral. Lineage: Bacteria; Pseudomonadati; Pseudomonadota; Gammaproteobacteria; Enterobacterales; Enterobacteriaceae.